Molecule: ribosomal RNA, 491 nt
Filed under: uncultured bacterium
Lineage: Bacteria
Description: partial 16S ribosomal RNA
Rfam family: Bacterial small subunit ribosomal RNA
Source: RNAcentral
AGUGAACGCUGGCGGUAGGCCUAACACAUGCAAGUCGAACGGCAGCACAGUAAGAGCUUGCUCUUACGGGUGGCGAGUGGCGGACGGGUGAGGAAUACAUCGGAAUCUACUUUUUCGUGGGGGAUAACGUAGGGAAACUUACGCUAAUACCGCAUACGACCUACGGGUGAAAGCAGGGAUCUUCGGACCUUGCGCGAUUGAAUGAGCCGAUGUCGGAUUAGCUAGUUGGCGGGGUAAAGGCCCACCAAGGCGACGAUCCGUAGCUGGUCUGAGAGGAUGGUCAGCCACACUGGAACUGAGACACGGUCCAGACCCCUACGGGAGGCAGCAGUGGGGAAUAUUGGACAAUGGGCGCAAGCCUGAUCCAGCCAUACCGCGUGGGUGAAGAAGGCCUUCGGGUUGUAAAGCCCUUUUGUUGGGAAAGAAAAGCAGCAGGUUAAUACCCCGCUGUUCUGACGGUACCCAAAGAAUAAGCACCGGCUAACUUCGUG